Salmo salar (Atlantic salmon) is the source of this 54-nucleotide non-coding RNA. The record is from Rfam. NCBI's taxonomy places the organism in Eukaryota, Metazoa, Chordata, Actinopteri, Salmoniformes, Salmonidae.
UGCAUUCACUACUGUAAGUCGCUCUGGAUGAGUGUGUCUGCUAAAUGACUCAAA